AAGAAAGAGAGAAGGGGGGGGUGUAGUCAGAGCCCGGAACACAGCCGAUACGAUAAUGAUUUUCUCCUCCGCGCAGAGCCACAGAAUAGCGCGUGUAACAUGACACCAAUCCCACCCCCUGCUCUUUUGAAGUGCCAUGGGAUUUUUAAUGACCACAUCAAGUCAGGACCUCAGGAAGAUGAUUCUUCCGUGAUGUAGCACCAAAGUCGCCGUGCGGUACUCAGGGGGCGUACAUGGCGGUUGGAAGCACGAGCUUCGCCAUGCGAAAAACGAUUGCGACUCGUGAAACGUGGAGGUAGAUGUUUUUCUCCUGGUCCCCAUGGGUUUAAAGCUGGGUUAUGUACUCUGCUUACCAGGGCCUUGUUAGUAGGAAUGUGCAAUUUUGCAAGUGACAAGAGUAGAGAGGAAUUGCUGAUCUGGCAGUAUAGUUCAAUGGUUAGGGAACUUGGUUGCUAAUACAAAGGUCGCAGGUAAGAUUUCCAGGUACGGAACUGAUCUUGUACCCUUGUGCAAGGUACUUAACGUGAUUUGUGUCUGUAUAUAUCGAGCUGUAUAAUUGGAUAAUACAAUAUGCAAAACCUAAAUGCCUGUAUUGUAAUGUAAAUGACCCAGGAUCCGUGAGCUCAUUUUGUCUUUGGGAAACAUUCUGGUACACAGAAAAAACCGGUGCCGAACAGAAAAGUGGAAUGGCAGCCAUUUUAUACCAAAAUGUUUAAAUAGAAAGGAUGAGUCCACAUACUGUGUAUGCUCCUGGGUACCAUAAAUUAAUUAAUAAAUUUAUGGCACCCGGGAGCAUACACAGUAUGUGGACUCAUCUUUUUUAUAUAACAUUUUGGUACAAAAUGGCUGCCAUAA
Anguilla rostrata (American eel) is the source of this 855-nucleotide long non-coding RNA. RefSeq lists it as uncharacterized. The transcript has 3 exons. NCBI's taxonomy places the organism in Eukaryota, Metazoa, Chordata, Actinopteri, Anguilliformes, Anguillidae. The record is from RefSeq and is a predicted model, not a curated record.